This is a non-coding RNA of Sus scrofa (pig), 3325 nucleotides long. NCBI's taxonomy places the organism in Eukaryota, Metazoa, Chordata, Mammalia, Artiodactyla, Suidae. The record is from RefSeq and is a predicted model, not a curated record.
GCUCAGCCGCGGGGCCAGGGACAGCCGGCCAGAACCAUAGCCGACGCGAUGCGGGUCCCGCGGCAGCCGCGCUCGCGUCCAGGCGCCGGGCCCGGGCGAGCCUCGAGCCCGGACCUGACCCCGCUGUGACCGGCGCAGAGACACGGGGCACAAUUUGAAAUGAGCUUCACGAAGUUGUCGUUGAGCGCGAUGCCAGCCUUAGCAUCGAAGAUGGACGAGUGGGUAUCGCUAACAAAGUCCGUGGACACGACCUGAGCGUCAGAAUUUCAAAGAUAUAUGGAGCGCAGAGCUAGGACCUCCAGGAGCUCAGGCUUCUGGGCACAUUACCCAUUCAUUCAUCUACAGUCUUCGAUGGAGCCCUUCUGCGUGGGGAUAGGGUACAAGGAAGACAUGCGGGAGCUUUGCAGGUGGGGGACUGGCCGAAGGAUACAGACGGCAAACACCCUGAUGCCGCACCAAUAGACAUUUUCUGGCAACACUGCACUUGGAAUGGUUCAGCCAGGAGGCCCUCCCUGAGGGGAGGUGGUGAGUCAGGCGCUGGACGACUAGGAGAAUCUGGCCAACUCCAGCCCUCAGCAGGGUGGAAGGAGCUGCAGCACAGAGCCCUGGGGGUUUGGCCUUGAGCAGCAGGGUGAUGUGAUCUGAUUUUUCUAAGAGGUCCUGGUGAGGGUGGACCUUCAGGAGCUAAAGCAGGGAGACAGCAUCAAGCAGGGAUGGCACCAGGAGCAAAGGGUUGGUGCUAUCCAUUCCUCACAGGGAAGGUAUCCGGCCAUGGCCUACCCUGAGCAGCCUUGAACAGUGGGAGUUCUUGUCUUGUUCGCUGAGCAUGAAUUGAGCACCUGCUGUGUGCCACGCCCUAGGAGGACAGCUGGAGCUACAGAAGUGAAGAGUCCCCAGGUCCCCGCUUUCUUGGAGUGCACAUGCCAGCACAGCCAACAGUGAUUAUGAAAUGACAUUUCAGGUAAGGAAAGGGCCACCAAAAAGACAUCUCUCUGAGGUGAGAAGUUCAAGUAGAGACUUGGAGGAGGUGAGGGCAGACUACGUGGCCACCUGGGGGAAAAGCUUUCCAGGCCAAAGGGGCAGCAGGUGCAGACCCCAAAGACCGCAAGGCAGGGAGUCUGACCUUCCCAGCUCUGCAGUUCCUGUCUUGAUACAUUGCAAGCAGUUCCUUGGCAAGUGGAAAAUCACUCUCCCUCCCCAGGGGGCUCCUCCCAGGGACCCCACUCCUCAGCCCCUACCUCAUCCUCAGUGUAGGCAAGGAUGCCGGCCAUGGGCCCCUUGGCUGCUUCUUUUAUGGCCUCCUUAAUGGCCGAGUACUGGGUAGGCUGGGCCAGGCGGCAGGUGAGAUCCACAACAGACACGUCUGGGGUUGGCACUCGGAACGCCAUCCCCGUCAGCUUCCUGGAGAAUUCCACAUCAGGGGUGGUGCUCAGAAGCCAGGGACUUCAUCAUCCCACCUUGUCUCUGCUUUCCCCUCAGUAGACACCUCAAGGAUUGGGGACUGGUUCAGUCUUCCUGGUUGUACCCCCCACCCUGGUUGCAGAUCCAUGCCCUCAUACCCUUUGAGGUCUGGGAUGAUUUUGCCCACAGCCUUGGCAGCCCCUGUGGAGGCAGGGAUGAUGUUCUGGUGGGCACCCCGUCCAUCUCUCCAGGCCUUCUUCGAUGGCCCAUCCACCGUCUUCUGGGUGGCAGUGUAGGAAUGGACUGUGGUCUUGGAGAAGAAGAGGGCCGAGGUGAGGCCUUCCUGCUCCCAAGCUCCUGUGUUUGUUUUGCCCAGGCCCACAGUGGUGACCCAGGUGGGGGCUGGCAGGGCCACCACCACUGGUCACAGGAAGGACACAUGCAGGCAGGGUCCAGCCUUGUCUGCAAAUUGCCCAGAGUUUUAAAAGAUUUCACUGCUGGUGGCCUUCUCUCCAAACCAGUCUCCCAGGUUGCUCCACACAACCAAGCAAGUUUGGCAAGAAGAGGUAGUUUCCCAGCCACCCCUCCCACCCCAACCCCUCUCUUCAACUCACCAUCAGCCCUUCCAGAAUCCCAAAUCGCUCAUGGAUGACCUUGGCGAGGGGGGCCAGGCAGUUGGUGGUGCAGGAGGCGUUGCUGAAAUGGCCCAGGUGUGCAAGGGCACCGCAAGGUGAGCCGCAGAGCCACGCCUCCACCCUUACCUGUCUUUCAGGGGUUCACGCAGGCUUGGGGUUGUGAAAAGUCAGGAUAGGGAUGAGGAGAGGGGAUGCCUUCAAGAGGGAAGGAGGCACCAGAGCUGCAGCUGGGGGAGGCUCCCCAAGCACGUUCUCUGGAAGUGCAGUUCUAACGUGGUUUUAGGGGAAUGUCAUCAAGACAGCUGUUCAGACUUUGGGAAGCAGAGGUGGACUGAUGUGAAGAGGGCACCAGGGGUUGAGUGGGAGUGGGGAGGGGGACAGAUUCCUCCCUGCCCCAGGCUGGCUUGUCCUCCAGGCACCACCCACACACUUCAGAAUGUUGCUGCUCUUUACCUGACAAUUUUCAUGGUGCCAGGGUUGUAGUCCUUUUCAUUCACCCCCAUGACAAACAUGGGGGCAUCCGGAGAAGGUGCACAGAUGACCACACGCUGGGCACCUGCUUCGAGGUGGGGCUAGGGAAGGAGCACAGGUGUCAUGAGGUACUCCAAGUGUCACACCUCCCUGACCCCCGCCAAAGCCAACCCCGGGCACCUUUCCCCAGCUUACUGAAGUUUCCUCUAAGGACAGGUACACGCCCGUGGCCUCCACCACGAAGGGGCUCCCGACAGAUUCCAGGGGAUGUCUUUGGGCUGCUUGCUGCGGAGGGGCGGCAGCACCGUCAGCCACUCUCCCCCCUGCAUGGCCUUGCCUUCACCACACAUACUUAGCUUCCUACAAUGGGUUCGACCCUGCUGGUCUUGCCUCUCAUGGCUGACCCCCCUGGUGGGCCCCUUCUCUUUCCUCAGUUGUACCUGCUGUGCCUGGGUACAAGCUGCCACUGCCCCAGCCCCAGGGCACCAUCAUGUCUAUUCCCAGCCAGGCCCUAUGCUGCCCAGAAUGCAGAGCCGGGGAGGGUGAGGCUGGCAACUUCUCAGCCAUCCCAGCCCGUCUUGUCUGUACUACUUAGCUCCUGCGACAGGGAUCCUGCUGCCAGAGGCCAAGCAAGACCCUGAAGACAGACACCACAUCCAGAGAGCAGCUCCCAGGGGGCCGAUCUAGAGGCACCGCUAAGGCCACUAGUGGUUUAUGUUGGAAAAGUAAAGGAGAUUUUCUGUUUCCCAUUUUCCCUGGAUGUUUUGUCAAACAUUUGUGUUUGAGACAUACUAAACAUCUAGUAUUGCUGUUUUCUA